RNAcentral lists this ribosomal RNA (491 nucleotides) under uncultured bacterium. Its description in RNAcentral is "partial 16S ribosomal RNA". It matches the Rfam family "Bacterial small subunit ribosomal RNA", at positions 29 to 506 of the family's 1533-position model. The record is from RNAcentral.
AGUGAACGCUGGCGGUAGGCCUAACACAUGCAAGUCGAACGGCAGCACAGUAAGAGCUUGCUCUUACGGGUGGCGAGUGGCGGACGGGUGAGGAAUACAUCGGAAUCUACUUUUUCGUGGGGGAUAACGUAGGGAAACUUACGCUAAUACCGCAUACGACCUACGGGUGAAAGCAGGGGAUCUUCGGACCUUGCGCGAUUGAAUGAGCCGAUGUCGGAUUAGCUAGUUGGCGGGGUAAAGGCCCACCAAGGCGACGAUCCGUAGCUGGUCUGAGAGGAUGAUCAGCCACACUGGAACUGAGACACGGUCCAGACUCCGACGGGAGGCAGCAGUGGGGAAUAUUGGACAAUGGGCGCAAGCCUGAUCCAGCCAGACCGCGUGGGUGAAGAAGGCCUUCGGGUUGUAAAGCCCUUUUGUUGGGAAAGAAAAGCAGCAGGUUAAUACCCCGCUGUUCUGACGGUACCCAAAGAAUAAGCACCGGCUAACUUCGU